RNAcentral lists this ribosomal RNA (327 nucleotides) under uncultured eukaryote. Its description in RNAcentral is "partial 18S ribosomal RNA". It matches the Rfam family "Eukaryotic small subunit ribosomal RNA", at positions 1470 to 1796 of the family's 1831-position model. The record is from RNAcentral.
CCCUUAGAUGUUCUGGGCUGCACGCGCGCUACACUGAUGCGCUCAACGAGUUUAUGAACUUGCCCGGAAGGGUUGGUUAAUCUUUUUAAAACGCAUCGUGAUGGGGAUAGAUUAUUGCAAUUAUUAAUCUUGAACGAGGAAUUCCUAGUAAACGCAGAUCAUCAAUCUGCAUUGAUUACGUCCCUGCCCUUUGUACACACCGCCCGUCGCACCUACCGAUUGAAUGGUCCGGUGAAGCCUCGGGAUUGUGGCCAGUUCACUUUAUUGGGAGUUGGCUGCGAGAACUUGUCUAAACCUUAUCAUUUAGAGGAAGGUGAAGUCGUAACA